CGUGCUUUCUUCGCCGAUUUUAUAUUUGUAUCCCGCCUCGCUCCUGCAGGGCGCCCGAGGCGGCUGGUCCUCUUCCGCUCGGCCUCCUCCUCGCAACAGCCCUGCAAGGUUCCGCUGCAGCUGAGGAACAGCACUGCCCCUUUGGAUCCCCUACGCCAUUAUGAAAGCAAAUCGCAGAGGAACACAUUUUGCUGAGCAAAAAGGCUGCCUGCCACAAGAAGUACCCAAAGAGGGUGAAGUAUUAAUCAGACAGUCCCUGGUUUUAAUCCCAUUAAUCCAUUGAUGGUCUUUGGCAAGCUGUGAUUUUUAAAGCUUCGCCUCACUCCCUUAAUCUACAAUAUGUGGGUAACAAUACCGGCCUCUCUCACAGGGUUGUUGUGAAAAUUAUAAAUGUAUGCGAAGAAUUCUGGCCAAACUCUCUUAGGUGCUAUAGAAAUACUAAGUGAGACUGGUGAGGGCUUUUCCAUCCCAAUCACUUCUCAAAUAUGGGAGUUAGCAGCUGGGCAUGGUGAACCAAGUGUGCAUUUUUGCUACCCUGUUUCCCUGAAAAUAAGACCUAACUGGAAAAUAAGCCCUAGCAUGAUUUUUCAGGAUGCUCGUAAUAGAAGCCCUACCCCAAAAAUAAGCCCCAGUUAAGAUAGUUAGCCAAACAGACGCAUGUAGUAUGUCCGUUGCAACACAAUUUGGGGUUUGGAGACUUACGACGAUGUUCCAGAAGAAGAUAGCAUGACUGUAUUUGAAUAAAUGUAGAUUGUUGUACAUGAAAAACUAAAACAUCACCUGAAAAUAGGCCCUAGUGCAUCUUUUGGAGCAAAAGUUAAUAUAAGACACGGUCUUAUUUUUGGGGGAAACACAGUAAUAGCCUGCUGACAGAACCAAGAGACACACAUGGUCCCGGGCCUGCUGUUUUCCCAAGUAUGAAACCGAAGUUGAGUUGUGGGCUCAUUUAAAUUGCUUGCCUUGGAAAGCUCGGCAUCAUUCUGCAAUGUCCCAAGAGAACCCUGGGUUCCAGCGAAAGAGCUUCUGGAGCCGUCGCCCAAGCAACAGAGCAAUCAUUUCUUUCACUAAAUAAAUGCCGAUUAAUAACCAAAUUGUAACUGAAUUUUUCAUUGGGACACCCACAGAAGUGUUUGCUAAUAAAAAUGUAAAGGAGAAACAGUUCCUAGUUACCUGUCUUCCUCCUGGAUAAUAAACUGUUGUUAACAUGUC
Long non-coding RNA from Varanus komodoensis (Komodo dragon), 1209 nucleotides. RefSeq lists it as uncharacterized. The transcript has 2 exons. The record is from RefSeq and is a predicted model, not a curated record. Lineage: Eukaryota; Metazoa; Chordata; Lepidosauria; Squamata; Varanidae.